RNAcentral lists this long non-coding RNA (579 nucleotides) under Erythranthe guttata (spotted monkey flower). RNAcentral describes it as "long non-coding RNA (EGUT_LNC000449)". Lineage: Eukaryota; Viridiplantae; Streptophyta; Magnoliopsida; Lamiales; Phrymaceae. The record is from RNAcentral.
AAUUAUUCAUAACCAGCUGUCGCUGCGCUAUAAACCUAUUAUUCAUAAAAGAUUCACUAUAUGUCUAUGCAAACCUAGUAUAAAUAAAGCAUUAAAUAACAAGUCUCGUAAACGGCUACCUAAGGUAUUAUCUGUAUGUCUACGAUAAUACAUGCAAUCAACACACGCAUUCGGUGAAAAACUACUCGAAGGCUCUUCUAUCCCUGUUCUAAUUAUUAAAACGAUCUGUCAAUCAAUUCUAACAAUAACAAAUAGCAACAUAAGUUAGCUACGCUCAUGCACUAAAUAAGAUCAAGAUAGAAGAAAUAAUCGAAGAAUUAAACUUGCAUAAAGUAGAAAAAUAGGUUCGAAUCACCACAUAGGGUUCCAAUAAAAUCCUAGAAUAAAAACUUAGCUACUCAUGUUCGUAACGAAAAGCAUAAGAAAAAUACGAGAAUUCAUAAAUUUAGAAAAGAAAAGGAAAAAGGAAAACUAGGAUGAAGAAUCGUCAAGUCUUCGUCUUCGUUCUCUUGCUCCUUGAUUGCGUGUAGAAAAGAUAAAAAAACUAAAAACUAAUAAUAACGAUAAAAGGUAAAAGAU